UUAAAGAUUUACAUAUAAGAACUAACACCAUAAAAACCCUAGAAGAAAAUCUAGGCAACACCAUUUAGGACGGAGGCGCAGGCAAGGACUUCAAUGAAAAAAACACCAAAAGCAC
Molecule: long non-coding RNA, 115 nt
Organism: Sapajus apella (tufted capuchin)
Lineage: Eukaryota; Metazoa; Chordata; Mammalia; Primates; Cebidae
Exons: 3
Source: RefSeq, a predicted model, not a curated record